This 73-nucleotide small nucleolar RNA is filed under the name Chinchilla lanigera (long-tailed chinchilla). Its description in RNAcentral is "Small nucleolar RNA SNORD49 (ENSCLAG00000020391.1)". It matches the Rfam family "Small nucleolar RNA SNORD49". Rfam says of the family: U49 belongs to the C/D class of snoRNA which contain the C (UGAUGA) and D (CUGA) box motifs. Most of the members of the box C/D family function in directing site-specific 2'-O-methylation of substrate RNAs. Lineage: Eukaryota; Metazoa; Chordata; Mammalia; Rodentia; Chinchillidae. The record is from Rfam by way of RNAcentral.
UGUUGUGAUGAUCACUAGUAAUAGGAAGUGCCGUCAGAAGCGAUGACUGACGACGUUUAUGCUUGAUCUGAUU